CACGGUUGGAGUUCCAUUUUUAUUCCAAAAACAGAAAGCAACCGGAAAAUCACUGGCCAAGCUCGGCCAGCAAAGUCAGGACUUAUGCACAACCCCCAAAACUUGCUGGCAGUUACAAGGACUUGUGCAGGAAAUCCAGGCUGACGCUCCGGUGAAGUACAGAGAAGGUGUUGCAUUGUCAACCAAUACAUCUGCUGUCCCAGCUGGAGGUCAUAAAGUAAUUGGAAGCAUCAGCAAGAAUAGCUGACUUGUAAUUGCCAGAAUGGACAACCCUUCCGCUGACUGCAUUGGAGUGUGUGGCCAUGGGACACCGGGUGGAUACCAAGAGAGCUGCAAAAUCUGGUCCAUAGUUGAAUUGAAGCUGAACCCAUCGAUGUUCUAGGUACUGCACUAUC
Long non-coding RNA from Pristis pectinata (smalltooth sawfish), 395 nucleotides. RefSeq lists it as uncharacterized. The record is from RefSeq and is a predicted model, not a curated record. The transcript is spliced from 3 exons. NCBI's taxonomy places the organism in Eukaryota, Metazoa, Chordata, Chondrichthyes, Rhinopristiformes, Pristidae.